GAUGAACGCUAGCUACAGGCUUAACACAUGCAAGUCGAGGGGCAGCAUGGUCUUAGCUUGCUAAGACUGAUGGCGACCGGCGCACGGGUGAGUAACACGUAUCCAACCUGCCGUCUACUCUUGGACAGCCUUCUGAAAGGAAGAUUAAUACAAGAUGGCAUCAUGAGUCCGCAUGUUCACAUGAUUAAAGGUAUUCCGGUAGACGAUGGGGAUGCGUUCCAUUAGAUAGUAGGCGGGGUAACGGCCCACCUAGUCUUCGAUGGAUAGGGGUUCUGAGAGGAAGGUCCCCCACAUUGGAACUGAGACACGGUCCAAACUCCUACGGGAGGCAGCAGUGAGGAAUAUUGGUCAAUGGACGAGAGUCUGAACCAGCCAACGUAGCGUGAAGGAUGACUGCCCUAUGGGUUGUAAACUUCUUUU
Molecule: ribosomal RNA, 420 nt
Filed under: uncultured bacterium
Lineage: Bacteria
Description: bacterial SSU rRNA
Rfam family: Bacterial small subunit ribosomal RNA
Source: RNAcentral